RNAcentral lists this ribosomal RNA (320 nucleotides) under uncultured eukaryote. RNAcentral's name for it is "partial 18S ribosomal RNA". It matches the Rfam family "Eukaryotic small subunit ribosomal RNA", at positions 1470 to 1796 of the family's 1831-position model. The record is from RNAcentral.
CCCCUAGAUGUUCUGGGCCGCACGCGCGCUACACUGAACAGUUCAACAAGUCUUAACCUUGGCCGAUAUGUCUGGGUAAUCUUUGAACGCUGUUCGUGAUUGGGAUAGACCUUUGCAAUUAUGGGUCUUCAACGAGGAAUUCCUAGUAAACGCAAGUCAUCAGCUUGCAUUGAUUACGUCCCUGCCCUUUGUACACACCGCCCGUCGCACCUACCGAUUGAAUGGUCCGGUGAAAUCUCGGGACGGCGGCUUGGUCGCUUGCGUCCGACUGCUGAAACUUGAUUAAACCAUAUCAUUUAGAGGAAGGUGAAGUCGUAACA